RNAcentral lists this ribosomal RNA (465 nucleotides) under uncultured bacterium. RNAcentral describes it as "partial 16S ribosomal RNA". It matches the Rfam family "Bacterial small subunit ribosomal RNA", at positions 28 to 507 of the family's 1533-position model. The record is from RNAcentral.
GACGAACGCUGGCGGCGUGCUUAACACAUGCAAGUCGUACGGUAAGGCCCUUUCGGGGGUACACGCGUGGCGAACGGGUGAGUAACACGUGAGUAACCUGCCCACAACUUUGGGAUAACGCUAGGAAACUGGUGCUAAUACUGGAUAUGUGCUCCUGCUGCAUGGUGGGGGUUGGAAAGCUCCGGCGGUUGUGUAUGGACUCACGGGCUAUCAGCUUGCUGGUUGGGGAGUUGCCUACCAAGGCGGCGGCGGGUAGCCGGCCUGGGAGGGUGACCGGCCACAUUGGGACUGAGGUACGGCCCAGGCUCCUACGGGAGGGAGCAGGGGGGGAUAUUGCACAAUGGGCGCAAGCCUGAUGCAGCAACGCCGCGUGCGGGAUGACGGGCUUCGGGUUGGAAACCGCUUUCAGCAGGGACGAAGCUUUUUGUGACGGUACCUGCAGAAGAAGCACCGGCUAACUACGUG